UAAGAAAUAAGAAACAGAUGUGUCGC
RNAcentral lists this small RNA (26 nucleotides) under Bombyx mori (domestic silkworm). Its description in RNAcentral is "ovarian small RNA-19089". The record is from RNAcentral. Lineage: Eukaryota; Metazoa; Arthropoda; Insecta; Lepidoptera; Bombycidae.